UUCCGGUUGAUCCUGCCGGAGGCUACUGCUAUCGGAGUUCGACUAAGCCAUGCGAGUCGAGAGGGGUUAAGCCCUCGGCGCACUGCUCAGUAACACGUGGAGAACCUGCCCUAUGGUGGAGAAUAACCCCGGGAAACUGGGAAUAAUGCUCCAUAGACCUAGGCUGCUGGAAUGCACUUAGAUUUAAAGCUCCGGCGCCAUAGGAUGGCUCUGCGGCCUAUCAUGGUAGUUGUCAGGGUAGUGACCUGACAAGCCAGCGACGGGUACGGGCGAUGAGAGUCGUAGCCCGGAGAUGGACUCUGAGACACGAGUCCAGGCCCUACGGGGCGCAGCAGGCGCGAAAACUGCACACUGUGGGAAACCACGAUGCGGGAACUCCAAGUGCCAGUACAAUGUGCUGGCUGUUCUCUUGUCUAAAAAACAAGAGGAGUAAGUGCUGGGUAAGACGGGUGCCAGCCGCCGCGGUAAUACCUGCAGCACGAGUGGUGGCCGCUUUUAUUGAGCUUAAAGCGUUCGUAGCCUGUUUAGUAAAUCCCUGGGUAAAUCGGGCAGCUCAACUGUUCGAAUUCUGGGGACACUGCUGAACUUGAGAUCGGGAGAGGACAGAGGUACUCUUGGGGUAGGGGUAAAAUCCUGUAAUCCUGAGGGGACCACCUGUGGCGAAGGCGUCUGUCUAGAACGAGUCUGACGGUGAGGAACGAAGGCUAGGGGCGCGAACGGGAUUAGAUACCCCGGUAGUCCUAGCUGUAAACGCUGUGGGCUUCGUGUUGGGCGUCCUGCGUGGGCAUCCAGUGCUGGAGAGAAAUCAUUAAGCCCACCGCUUGGGGAGUAUGGUCGCAAGACUGAAACUUAAAGGAAUUGGCGGGGGAGCACCGCAACGGGUGGAGCGUACGGUUUAAUUGGAUUCAACGCCGGA
This 916-nucleotide ribosomal RNA is filed under the name uncultured archaeon. RNAcentral's name for it is "bacterial SSU rRNA". It matches the Rfam family "Archaeal small subunit ribosomal RNA", at positions 1 to 922 of the family's 1478-position model. The record is from RNAcentral.